This 163-nucleotide ribosomal RNA is filed under the name uncultured bacterium. Its description in RNAcentral is "partial 16S rRNA". It matches the Rfam family "Bacterial small subunit ribosomal RNA", at positions 355 to 511 of the family's 1533-position model. The record is from RNAcentral.
UAGGGAAUCUUCCACAAUGGGCGAAAGCCUGAUGGAGCAACGCCGCGUGUGUGACGAAGGGUUUCGGCUCGUAAACACUGUUGUAAGAGAAGAAUGACAUUGAGAGUAACUGUUCAAUGUGUGACGGUAUCUUACCAGAAAGGAACGGCUAAAUACGCGCCAG